AAGUCGUAACAAGGUUUCCGUAGGUGAACCUGCGGAAGGAUCAUUAUUGAAUAAGCUUGAACAGGCUGUUGCUAGCUCUCAAGGGAGAAUGUGCACGCUUGUCAUCUUUAUUUCUCCAACAUGUGCAUCUUUUGUAGACCUGGAGUGUUUGUUGAUUGUUGUUCGAUUGAGGACUGCCGUGUAGUCGGCUUUGCCUUGCACUCUCCAGGCCUAUGUUUCUUUCACAACACCACUUGUUCAGAAUGUACCUAUGAAGUUAAAAAAAUAUACAACUUUCAGCAACGGAUCUCUUGGCUCUCGCAUCGAUGAAGAACGCAGCGAAAUGCGAUAAGUAAUGUGAAUUGCAGAAUUCAGUGAAUCAUCGAAUCUUUGAACGCAUCUUGCGCUCCUUGGUAUUCCGAGGAGCAUGCCUGUUUGAGUGUCAUUCAAGUUCUCAACCAUGCCAGUUUCUCUGGUCAUGGCUUUGGAUGUGGGGGUUAUUGUUUUGCUGGCUUCAAAGUCGGCUCCCCUGAAAUGCAUUAGUAGUAUCUGAGCAGAAACUACCAUAGGUGUGAUAAAUUAUCUAUGCCUUGGUGUCAACUGCAUGAGCAGAUUAUGCUGCUUCUAUAACGACGAUGAUGUUUGACAAAUUUGACCUCAAAUCAGGCAGGACUACCCGCUGAACUUAA
Molecule: ribosomal RNA, 668 nt
Filed under: uncultured fungus
Lineage: Eukaryota; Fungi
Description: eukaryotic LSU rRNA
Rfam family: 5.8S ribosomal RNA (bases 271-424)
Source: RNAcentral